This is a long non-coding RNA of Hyla sarda, 418 nucleotides long. RefSeq lists it as uncharacterized. The record is from RefSeq and is a predicted model, not a curated record. Lineage: Eukaryota; Metazoa; Chordata; Amphibia; Anura; Hylidae. The transcript has 4 exons.
UGAUCAUUGAAGCUGUAUAACUCUGGCAGUGUCUGUGUGUGGGAAAAUGUGCUCCUCAGACAUCACCAGACACCUGAUGGACAGCACAGAUCUCCUGUAUCAUUUAUUGGCAUCGGAGCAACCAAGAAAGUGACGUCACGGUGGAACACAUACUGCGUUCCACAUCCUCGGAAGUGACGCGACUUCCUUCCGGCAUUGGCAACUGCGUCCUCAUGGCAAAGGCUGGAUCACUCCAUCUAUUGGGACUUUAUGUGGGUUACCCAGAGGUAUUUACCCCACUAUAUCAGGUACUGGUAUCUUCAAGGUCCUGAUGCCUGCCACUUCCUGCAUGUAUAUCUACAGGAGUCUGUGGUGCUCUCUACUUUAAAUUCAUCUGCACAACCAAAAGGGUCCUACCACACGGAUUUAAUAUAUAUGG